RNAcentral lists this transfer RNA (67 nucleotides) under Marmota marmota marmota (Alpine marmot). It matches the Rfam family "tRNA". Rfam says of the family: Transfer RNA (tRNA) molecules are approximately 80 nucleotides in length. Their secondary structure includes four short double-helical elements and three loops (D, anti-codon, and T loops). Lineage: Eukaryota; Metazoa; Chordata; Mammalia; Rodentia; Sciuridae. RNAcentral also lists the same sequence under 1 other name. The record is from Rfam by way of RNAcentral.
GGUUGUAGCUCAGUGGUAGAGUGCUUGCCUAGCAUGUAUGGGGCACUGGGUUCGAUUCUCAACACCA